GAAAUGCGAUAAGUAGUGUGAAUUGCAGAAUUCAGUGAAUCAUCGAAUCUUUGAACGCACAUUGCGCCCCUCGGUAUUCCGUGGGGCAUGCCUGUUCGAGCGUCAUCUACACCCUCAAGCUCUGCUUGGUGUUGGGCGUCUGUCCCGCCUCCGCGCGCGGACUCGCCCCAAAUGCAUUGGCAGCGGUUCCUUGCCCCCCUCUUUGCGCAGCACAUUGCCAUUCGAGGCGGCGGCGGCCCGCGUCCAACAAGCUCAACCCCCCCGUCUUUGACCUCGGAUCAGGUAGGGACACCCGCUGAACUUAAGC
This 307-nucleotide unclassified non-coding RNA is filed under the name plant metagenome. Its description in RNAcentral is "partial contains 5.8S ribosomal RNA, internal transcribed spacer 2, and large subunit ribosomal RNA". The stretch from base 1 to 105 matches the Rfam family "5.8S ribosomal RNA", at positions 50 to 154 of the family's 154-position model. The record is from RNAcentral.